This 274-nucleotide ribosomal RNA is filed under the name uncultured bacterium. RNAcentral's name for it is "partial 16S ribosomal RNA". It matches the Rfam family "Bacterial small subunit ribosomal RNA", at positions 523 to 796 of the family's 1533-position model. The record is from RNAcentral.
AUACGGAGGGUCCGAGCGUUAUUCGGAAUCACUGGGCGUAAAGGACGCGUAGGCGGGUUGGCAAGUCAGAUGUGAAAUCCUACAGCUUAACUGUAGAACUGCAUUUGAAACUGCUAACCUAGAGUAUGGGAGGGGGAGAUGGAAUUAGUGGUGUAGGGGUAAAAUCCGUAGAUAUCACUAGGAAUACCGAAAGCGAAGGCGAUCUCCUGGAACAUAACUGACGCUAAGGCGUGAAAGCGUGGGGAGCAAACAGGAUUAGAAACCCUAGUAGUCC